UGAGAUCCCACAGAGGGAUCAUGUUUAUGAUUAUGACUAUGCGCAGUGCAUGUUCAGGUUGAGUUGGAUGUAUGAAAGGAAAGUUUUAAAUUUUUAUGUAUGUUGUGAUCAUGUAUGGGAUUAAACAGGUUUUCAGGUUGCAAGUCAGGCUUGCUACGGGUCUUGGCGGCCUUAAGCCGACCCGGAUCCUAGCGCCGGUAGCGGUCCGAUUUUCGGG
RNAcentral lists this long non-coding RNA (217 nucleotides) under Manihot esculenta (cassava). RNAcentral's name for it is "long non-coding RNA (MESC_LNC012403)". Lineage: Eukaryota; Viridiplantae; Streptophyta; Magnoliopsida; Malpighiales; Euphorbiaceae. The record is from RNAcentral.